This 497-nucleotide ribosomal RNA is filed under the name uncultured bacterium. RNAcentral describes it as "partial 16S ribosomal RNA". It matches the Rfam family "Bacterial small subunit ribosomal RNA", at positions 28 to 507 of the family's 1533-position model. The record is from RNAcentral.
GACGAGCGCUGGCGGCGUGCCUAAUACAUGCAAGUUGAGCGCUGAAGGUUGGUACUUGUACCGACUGGAUGAGCAGCGAACGGGUGAGUAACGCGUGGGGAAUCUGCCUUUGAGCGGGGGACAACAUUUGGAAACGAAUGCUAAUACCGCAUAAAAACUUUAAACACAAGUUUUAAGUUUGAAAGAUGCAAUUGCAUCACUCAAAGAUGAUCCCGCGUUGUAUUAGCUAGUUGGUGAGGUAAAGGCUCACCAAGGCGAUGAUACAUAGCCGACCUGAGAGGGUGAUCAGCCACAUUGGGACUGAGACACGGCCCAAACUCCUACGGGAGGCAGCAGUAGGGAAUCUUCGGCAAUGGACGAAAGUCUGACCGAGCAACGCCGCGUGAGUGAAGAAGGUUUUCGGAUCGUAAAACUCUGUUGGUAGAGAAGAACGUUGGUGAGAGUGGAAAGCUCAUCAAGUGACGGUAACUACCCAGAAAGGGACGGCUAACUACGUG